Molecule: ribosomal RNA, 131 nt
Filed under: Setophoma terrestris
Lineage: Eukaryota; Fungi; Ascomycota; Dothideomycetes; Pleosporales; Phaeosphaeriaceae
Description: partial large subunit ribosomal RNA
Rfam family: Eukaryotic large subunit ribosomal RNA
Source: RNAcentral
CGGCAACAGCUCAAAUUUGAAAUCUGGCUCUUUCAGAGUCCGAGUUGUAAUUUGCAGAGGGUGCUUUGGUGGUAGUUGCGGUCUAAGUUCCUUGGAACAGGACGUCACAGAGGGUGAGAAUCCCGUAUGUG